AAUUUUAUUUUGUUUGUAUUUUUUUUUUAGAAUGUCAGUUUUCUUUAAGGGCAUCUGACAAUAAGAAUUGUCUAUGUAUGCACUACAGAUGCUGUCCAAUAUCUUUUCAUGAGGAAGCCUGCUCAAAAAGAUCGCCACAUUUUUCUUUAGGGGAAGUUGACAUUAAUCUUUUAGGUUAAUAAUAACCUAUGCAUGCAGUACAGAUGCUGUUCAUCUUUUCAUAAGCAAGCCUGCUCAAGAAGGUAAGAAGAAUUAAAUUUUGCUUUUAGAUUACUGAUCAGCAAUCUGAAAGAAAAUUGUUAAUGGGAUGGAAUUGAUUAAAUCUGCUGUAUGGAAGUCAAAAUAUGAAUUAUUGCCACCAGUCUUGAAGUCAGCUUGUAAAGAAUGCUAAGAAUUGA
Molecule: long non-coding RNA, 398 nt
Organism: Biomphalaria glabrata
Lineage: Eukaryota; Metazoa; Mollusca; Gastropoda; Planorbidae
Exons: 3
Source: RefSeq, a predicted model, not a curated record